AUGAGUCUUUUGGCAGGUACAUGGAGGCCGGGAGCGCCAAGGCGCACCUCACGGACGCGGACGUUGAUCAUGGUGUACCAGCUUUGCAAGGGCGUUGCUUUAUGCCACGGACACAGUGUCCGGCACCAUGACCUCGAGCCACACAACCUGCAAAUUGGUGAAUGGGUUGGUAUCCUCUGGUUUGAUCCCAGAAAAGGAAGUGUUCUCUUCUCUUUAUCAACCAAAGGCACUUUCUUCUCUCAUGGAUGGAUGGGACUCCAUCAAUUUAGUAUCAGUUUAGGUGUUAGUAUGAUGUUGAUGCUUGUGUUGAUGCCAUGCUUUUUGUCUUGUCAUGUGCUGAUAUUAACUGGCAGCAUCAGCUCCCAUGAUUGCUUGCUUGCUUACUCUAUAACAUGUACUGCUAAAACAUUUUAUCCUACUCCAUGA
This 426-nucleotide ribosomal RNA is filed under the name Triticum aestivum (bread wheat). Its description in RNAcentral is "partial small subunit ribosomal RNA". Lineage: Eukaryota; Viridiplantae; Streptophyta; Magnoliopsida; Poales; Poaceae. The record is from RNAcentral.